AUACGGAGGAUGCGAGCGUUAUCCGGAUUUAUUGGGUUUAAAGGGAGCGUAGGUGGGAUAUUAAGUCAGCUGUGAAAGUUUGGGGCUCAACCUUAAAAUUGCAGUUGAUACUGGUUUCCUUGAGUACGGUACAGGUGGGCGGAAUUCGUGGUGUAGCGGUGAAAUGCUUAGAUAUCACGAAGAACUCCGAUCGCGAAGGCAACUCACCGGGGCGGAAAUGACACUGAUGCUCGAAAGUGCGGGGAACAAACAGGAUUAGAUACCCUGGGAGUCCGCACAGUAAACGAUUAAAUCUCGCUGUUUGCGAUACAAUGUAAGCGGCCAAGCGAAAGCGUUAAGUAUUCCCCCUGGGGAGUACGCCCGCAACGGUGAAACUCAAAGGAAUUGACGGGG
This 393-nucleotide ribosomal RNA is filed under the name uncultured bacterium. Its description in RNAcentral is "partial 16S ribosomal RNA". It matches the Rfam family "Bacterial small subunit ribosomal RNA", at positions 523 to 918 of the family's 1533-position model. The record is from RNAcentral.